RNAcentral lists this transfer RNA (59 nucleotides) under Linguatula serrata. Its description in RNAcentral is "tRNA-Met". Lineage: Eukaryota; Metazoa; Arthropoda; Ichthyostraca; Porocephalida; Linguatulidae. The record is from RNAcentral.
CAAAGAUAAGCUAACUUAAGCUAGUGGGCCCAUACCCCACUUAUGAAUCUCUCUUUGGA